This 80-nucleotide transfer RNA is filed under the name Sphaerodactylus townsendi. Its description in RNAcentral is "tRNA-Ala". Lineage: Eukaryota; Metazoa; Chordata; Lepidosauria; Squamata; Sphaerodactylidae. The record is from RNAcentral.
GGGCAGAGGCUGUGGUUUAGUGGAAGACCCUCUGCUUGGCAUGUAGAAGAAAGUCCCAGGUUUGAUUCUGGGCAUGUCCA